GACGAACGCUGGCGGCGUGCUUAACACAUGCAAGUCGAACGGAAAGGCCCUGCUUUUGUGGGGUGCUCGAGUGGCGAACGGGUGAGUAACACGUGAGUAACCUGCCCUUGACUUUGGGAUAACUUUAGGAAACUGGGGCUAAUACCGGAGAGGAGCUCCUGCUGCAUGUGGGGGGUUGGAAAAAUUCGGCGGUGGGGGAUGGACUCGCGGCUUAUCAGCUUGUUGGUGGGGUAGUGGCUUACCAAGGCUUUGACGGGUAGCCGGCCUGAGAGGGUGACCGGCCACAUUGGGACUGAGAUACGGACCAGACUCCUACGGGAGGCAGCAGUGGGGAAUAUUGCACAAUGGGCGGAAGCCUGAUGCAGCAACGCCGCGUGCGGGAUGCCGGCUUUCGGGUUGUAAACCGAUUUCGCCUGUGACGAAGCGUGAGUGACGGUAAUGGGUAAAGAAGCCCCGGCUAACUACGUG
This 468-nucleotide ribosomal RNA is filed under the name uncultured bacterium. RNAcentral's name for it is "partial 16S ribosomal RNA". It matches the Rfam family "Bacterial small subunit ribosomal RNA", at positions 28 to 507 of the family's 1533-position model. The record is from RNAcentral.